Molecule: ribosomal RNA, 253 nt
Filed under: uncultured bacterium
Lineage: Bacteria
Description: partial 16S ribosomal RNA
Rfam family: Bacterial small subunit ribosomal RNA
Source: RNAcentral
UACGUAGGUGGCAAGCGUUGUCCGGAAUUACUGGGCGUAAAGGGCGCGUAGGCGGCCCGCUAAGUCGAACGUGAAAUCCCCGAGCUCAACUCGGGAACUGCGUCCGAUACUGGUGGGCUUGAAUCCGGGAGAGGGAUGUGGAAUUCCAGGUGUAGCGGUGAAAUGCGUAGAUAUCUGGAGGAACACCGGUGGCGAAGGCGGCAUCCUGGACCGGUAUUGACGCUGAGGCGCGAAAGCUAGGGGAGCGAACGGG